GAUGAACGCUGGCGGCGUGCCUAAUACAUGCAAGUCGAGCGAACAGAUGAGGAGUUUGCUCCGCAGACGAUAGCGGCGGACGGGUGAGUAACACGGGGAUAACCUACCUAUAAGACGGGGAUAACUGCGGGAAACCGGAGCAAAUAGCGGAGAAUAUAUUGAAGCGCGGGGUUCAAGAGUGAAAGACGGUGUUGCUGGCACUUAUAGAUGGAUCCGCGGCGGGUUAGCUAGUUGGUAAGGUAAAGGCUUACCAGGGCAACGAUGCGUAGCCGACCUGAGAGGGUGAGCCGCCCCACUGGAGCGGAGAGCCGGUCCAGACUCCUACGGGAGGCAGCAGUAGGGAAUCUUCCGGAAUGGGCGAAAGCUUGACGGUGCAACGCAGCGUGAGUGAUGAAGGUCUUCGGAUCGUAAACCUCUGUUAUUAGGGAAGAACAAAUGUGUAAGUAACUAUGCACGUCUUGACGGUACCUAAUCAGAAAGCCACGGCUAACUACGUG
This 497-nucleotide ribosomal RNA is filed under the name uncultured bacterium. Its description in RNAcentral is "partial 16S ribosomal RNA". It matches the Rfam family "Bacterial small subunit ribosomal RNA", at positions 28 to 507 of the family's 1533-position model. The record is from RNAcentral.